AAAAAAUUAAUAGAACGGAUUCCCUUCUCAUGGCUUAGUGGUUAACAAACCUGACUAGGAUCCAUGAGGAUGCGGGAUGGAUCCCUGGCCUCGUUCAGUGGGUUAAGGAUCCAGCGUUGCCGUGAGCUGUGGUGUAGGUCACAGACACGGCUCAGAUCUGGCGUUUCUGUGGCUGUGGUGUAGGCUGGCUGCUGCAGCGCCAAUUGGACCCCUAGUCUGGGAACCUUCAUGUGCUGUGGGUGUGGCCCUAAAAAGCAAAAACAAACAAACAAACAGAAAAGUAAUGUUUUCAUUAGUUCAAAGCAAGAUAACUUAGGAGGACUAAAGGAAUAAAGGAGAGAUGGGACAGAGAAAAUAGCUGCAAGAUGGUAGACUUUAAUGUAUUUUAAUUACAUUAAAAACAAAUGGAGCAAAGAUAACGAUCUGAUAGAUAAUGAUUGUCAUACUGGAGGAAAAUCAGAGUCUUACCUGUGCUCAUUAGAAAGACAUACUUGAGGAGUACCCGUUGUGGUGGAGUGGAAACGGAUCCGACUCCUAUCCAUGAGGAUGCAGGUUCGAUCCCUGGCCCCACUCAGUGGGUUGGGGAUCCGGCGUUGCUGUGAGCUGUGGUGUAGGUCACAGAUGUGACUUGGAUCCUUUGUUGCUGUGGCUAUGGUGUAGGCCAGCAGCUACAGCUCCAAUUCGACCCCUAGACUGGGAACCUCCAUAUGCUGCAGGUGCCGCCCUAGAAAAACCAAAAAAGGAUAUACUUAAAAUGUAAGAGCAUAGAAUGUAAAGGAGACACACCAUGCCAACUGAGAAAAUGAGUAUGAUUAUCUCACACAGUGGACUUUAAGACAAAAAAAUAUGAUCAGAAAUAAAGAGUGACGUUGCGGAGUUCCUGCCGUGGCUCAGCGAUAAUGAACUCAACUAGUAUCCAUGAGGACAUGGAUUUGAUCCCUGGCCUUGCUCAGUGGGUUAAGGAUCCAGUGCUGCCGUGAGCUGUGGUGUAGGUCACAGAUGUGGCUUGGAUCUAGCGUUGCUGUGGCUGUGGUGUAGGCCGGCAGCCACAGCUUCCAUUCGACCCCCUAGCCUGGGAACUUCCAUGUGCCGUGGGUGUGGCCCUAAAAAGAAAGACAAAAGAAAAAAAAAAGUGACAUUGAAAAUGAUAAAAGGAUAAAUUUAUCAGGAAUAUAUUACAUACCUAAAUUUGUGUGGAGCUGACAAAGCAAAAGCACUAGACAAAUGCAUAAUCACAAUUGGAGUUUUUUUUAACAUACCUCUCUCAGUCACUGAUAGAAGUAGGGAGAGAAAUCAGUAAGGAUACAGAAGAUUUAACCAAAAUAAUGAAUCUACUUGGCCUAAUUUCAUAUGUAGAACAUCACACCCAACAAAAGCUAACUAUAAUGCUUUUUAGAUGUACAUGGAAUUCUUCCAAAAGAGAUAAAUCUGCAGACCAUAAAUUGCAGCAUGUUCCAAAGAACUGAAUUACUGAACUUAUGAUCUCUGACCCUAGUGAAAUUAAACCACAACUCAGUAACAGAAAGAUAACGACUAAAUUCCCAACAUAUUUCUAAAUGAUUCAUGGGAAAAAUAAACACAAUGGAAAUAAAAUAUUCUGAAGGAGAAAAAAAUACAACUUGCUCCAAUUAUGAAAUGCAGCUAAAGCAGCAAUUAGGGGAAAUUUAAUAGCUCUAAAGGCAUAUAUUAUAAACGAAGAAAGGUUAAACUUCAGCAAUUCAAGUGCUCAUCUCAAGAAGCCAGGAAACAAACUGCAAAUUAAACCCAAAGAAAAUGGAGGGGAAUAAUAAAAGGGCGGAAGUCAAUGAAAUAGAAAACAGAGGUAAAGCACCAAUGCUGAAAGUUUGUUCUUUUAAACAGUAAUAAAAUUGUUAAACCCAUAGCAUGAUUGAUCAAGAAAAAAAGAAAAA
This 1910-nucleotide long non-coding RNA is filed under the name Sus scrofa (pig). RNAcentral's name for it is "lncRNA (ENSSSCG00005032030.1)". The record is from RNAcentral. Lineage: Eukaryota; Metazoa; Chordata; Mammalia; Artiodactyla; Suidae.